This 85-nucleotide small nuclear RNA is filed under the name Neogale vison (American mink). RNAcentral describes it as "Neovison vison (American mink) U4 spliceosomal RNA (ENSNVIG00000014538.1)". Lineage: Eukaryota; Metazoa; Chordata; Mammalia; Carnivora; Mustelidae. The record is from RNAcentral.
AGCUUUGAGCGGUGGUAACACCGUCGCCUCUGAGGUUUAACCAAGGCACGAUUGUUACUGAUUGAAACCAUGAGACCAAAUUCCA